CAGAGGGUGCAAGCGUUGUUCGGAAUUACUGGGCGUAAAGCGCGUGUAGGCGGUCUAGCAAGUCGGGUGUGAAAUCCCUUGGCUUAACCAAGGAACUGCAUUCGAAACUACUAAACUUGAGUAUCGGAGGGGAUGGCGGAAUUCCCGGUGUAGAGGUGAAAUUCGUAGAUAUCGGGAGGAACACCUGUGGCGAAGGCGGCCAUCUGGAAGAUUACUGACGUUGAGACGCGAAAGCGUGGGGAGCAAACAGGAUUAGAUACCCUGGUAGUCCACGCCGUAAACGAUGAGUGCUAGGUGUUGCGGGUAUUGACCCCUGCAGUGCCAAAGCUAACGCGUUAAGCACUCCGCCUGGGGAGUACGGUCGCAAGAUUA
This 372-nucleotide ribosomal RNA is filed under the name uncultured organism. RNAcentral's name for it is "bacterial SSU rRNA". It matches the Rfam family "Bacterial small subunit ribosomal RNA", at positions 526 to 896 of the family's 1533-position model. The record is from RNAcentral.